UAGGGAAUCUUCCGCAAUGGGCGAAAGCCUGACGGAGCAUCGCCGCGUGAGUGAUGAAGGUCUUCGGAUCGUAAAACUCUGUUAUUAGGGAAGAACAAAUGUGUAAGUAACUAUGCACGUCUUGACGGUACCUAAUCAGAAAGCCACGGCUAACUACGUGCCAGCAGCCGCGGUAAUACGUAGGUGGCAAGCGUUAUCCGGAAUUAUUGGGCGUAAAGCGCGCGUAGGCGGUUUUUUAAGUCUGAUGUGAAAGCCCACGGCUCAACCGUGGAGGGUCAUUGGAAACUGGAAAACUUGAGUGCAGAAGAGGAAAGUGGAAUUCCAUGUGUAGCGGUGAAAUGCGCAGAGAUAUGGAGGAACACCAGUGGCGAAGGCGACUUUCUGGUCUGUAACUGACGCUGAUGUGCGAAAGCGUGGGGAUCAAACAGG
RNAcentral lists this ribosomal RNA (429 nucleotides) under Actinomycetes bacterium. RNAcentral describes it as "Actinobacteria bacterium partial 16S ribosomal RNA". It matches the Rfam family "Bacterial small subunit ribosomal RNA", at positions 355 to 776 of the family's 1533-position model. The record is from RNAcentral. Lineage: Bacteria; Bacillati; Actinomycetota; Actinomycetes.